This 31-nucleotide non-coding RNA is filed under the name Mus musculus (house mouse). Lineage: Eukaryota; Metazoa; Chordata; Mammalia; Rodentia; Muridae. The record is from RNAcentral.
UAUUCCUACACAGAUGGUGAAGCCAUGCUUC